CAUGCAAGCCGAACGCACCGCAAGGUGAGUGGCAGACGGGUGAGUAACGCGUGGGAACCUACCCUUUACUACGGAAUAACUGAGGGAAACUUCAGCUAAUACCGUAUACGCCCUACGGGGGAAAGAUUUAUCGGUAAAGGAUGGGCCCGCGUUGGAUUAGCUAGUUGGUGGGGUAAUGGCCUACCAAGGCGACGAUCCAUAGCUGGUCUGAGAGGAUGAUCAGCCACACUGGGACUGAGACACGGCCCAGACUCCUACGGGAGGCAGCAGUGGGGAAUAUUGGACAAUGGGGGAAACCCUGAUCCAGCCAUGCCGCGUGAGUGAUGAAGGCCUUAGGGUUGUAAAGCUCUUUCAGUGGGGAAGAUAAUGACGGUACCCACAGAAGAAGCCCCGGCUAACUUCGUGCCAGCAGCCGCGGUAAUACGAAGGGGGCUAGCGUUGUUCGGAUUUACUGGGCGUAAAGCGCACGUAGGCGGAUUGUUAAGUCAGAGGUGAAAUCCUGGAGCUCAACUCCAGAACUGCCUUUGAUACUGGCAAUCUCGAGUCCGAGAGAGGUGAGUGGAACUCCUAGUGUAGAGGUGGAAUUCGUAGAUAUUAGGAAGAACACCAGUGGCGAAGGCGGCUCACUGGCUCGGUACUGACGCUGA
RNAcentral lists this ribosomal RNA (647 nucleotides) under uncultured bacterium. RNAcentral's name for it is "bacterial SSU rRNA". It matches the Rfam family "Bacterial small subunit ribosomal RNA", at positions 54 to 749 of the family's 1533-position model. The record is from RNAcentral.